AUUGGGUUUAAAGGGUGCUCAGGCGGGGGAUUAAGUCGGCGGUGAAAUUUUGCAGCUCAACUGUAAAAGUGCCUUCGAAACUGGUUUCCUUGAGUGCGGAUGAGGUAGGCGGAAUUUGUGGUGUAGCGGUGAAAUGCAUAGAUAUCACGAGGAACUCCGAUUGCGCAGGCAGCUUACCAAGCCGUAACUGACGCUCAAGCACGAAGGCGUGGGGAUCAAACAGGAUUAGAUACCCUGGUAGUCCACGCAGUAAACGAUGAUUACUGGCUGUUUGCGAUAUAAUGUAAGCGGCUGAGCGAAAGCGUUAAGUAAUCCACCUGGGGAGUACGUUCGCAAGAAUGAAACUCAAAGGAAUUGACGGGGGCCCGCACAAGCGGAGGAACAUGUGGUUUAAUUCGAUGAUACGCGAGGAACCUUACCCGGGCUUGAAAUGCAUCUGGUGUCCCGAGAGAUCGGGAUUUCCCACGGGACAGAUGCGUAGGUGCUGCAUGGUUGUCGUCAGCUCGUGCCGUGAGGUGUCGGCUUAAGUGCCAUAACGAGCGCAACCCCUACCGUUAGUUGCCAUCAGGUCAAGCUGGGGACUCUAACGGGACUGCCAUCGUAAGGUGCGAGGAAGGUGGGGAUGACGUCAAAUCAGCACGGCCCUUACGUCCGGGGCGACACACGUGUUACAAUGGGUGGUACAAAGGGCAGCUACAUGGCGACAUGGUGCCAAUCUCCAAAACCACUCUCAGUUCGGAUCGGAGUCUGCAACUCGACUCCGUGAAGCUGGAUUCGCUAGUAAUCGCGCAUCAGCCACGGCGCGGUGAAUACGUUCCCGGGCCUUGUACACACCGCCCGUCAAGCCAUGGAAGCUGGGGGUGCCUGAAGUCCGUAACCGUCAAAGGAGCGGCCUAGGGUAAAACCGGUGACUGGGGCUAAGUCGUAACAAGGUAGCCGUACCGGAAGGUGC
RNAcentral lists this ribosomal RNA (952 nucleotides) under uncultured bacterium. RNAcentral's name for it is "bacterial SSU rRNA". It matches the Rfam family "Bacterial small subunit ribosomal RNA", at positions 553 to 1515 of the family's 1533-position model. The record is from RNAcentral.